UACGUAGGGCGCAAGCGUUAUCCGGAAUUAUUGGGCGUAAAGAGCUCGUAGGCGGUCUGUUACGUCUGCUGUGAAAACCCAGGGCUUAACCCUGGGCUUGCAGUGGAUACGGGCAGACUAGAGGCAGGUAGGGGAGAAUGGAAUUCCCGGUGUAGCGGUGAAAUGCGCAGAUAUCAGGAAGAACACCUAUGGCGAAGGCAGCUCUCUGGGACGGUACUGACGCUGAGACGCGAAAGCGUGGGGAGCGAACAGG
This 253-nucleotide ribosomal RNA is filed under the name uncultured bacterium. RNAcentral describes it as "partial 16S ribosomal RNA". It matches the Rfam family "Bacterial small subunit ribosomal RNA", at positions 524 to 776 of the family's 1533-position model. The record is from RNAcentral.